AGACGCCUGAGUAAAUCACGUUAAACACCCCCGGACACGGGGCUAAACCAAAUGAAAAUUACUCCAUGUCUUUGGUUGGGGCGACCGCGGGGAACCAAAAAACCCCCACGUGGACUGGAAUUAUGCAAUUCCACAACUAAGAGCCCCCGCUCUAGUUAACAGUAUCACUGACCAAUUAAGAUCCGGCAGAGCCGAUCAACGAACCGAGUUACCCUAGGGAUAACAGCGCAAUCCCCUUUUAGAGCCCAUAUCGACAAGGGGGUUUACGACCUCGAUGUUGGAUCAGGACAUCCUAAUGGUGCAGCCGCUAUUAAG
Molecule: ribosomal RNA, 315 nt
Filed under: Lepomis gibbosus (pumpkinseed sunfish)
Lineage: Eukaryota; Metazoa; Chordata; Actinopteri; Centrarchiformes; Centrarchidae
Description: partial 16S ribosomal RNA
Rfam family: Bacterial large subunit ribosomal RNA
Source: RNAcentral